UGGGGAAUAUUGCACAAUGGGCGCAAGCCUGAUGCAGCCAUGCCGCGUGUGUGAAGAAGGCCUUCGGGUUGUAAAGCACUUUCAGCGAGGAGGAAGGUGGUGAGCUUAAUACGCUCAUCAAUUGACGUUACUCGCAGAAGGAGCACCGGCUAACUCCGUGCCAGCAGCCGCGGUAAUACGGAGGGUGCAAGCGUUAAUCGGAAUUACUGGGCGUAAAGCGCACGCAGGCGGUUUGUUAAGUCAGAUGUGAAAUCCCCGGGCUCAACCUGGGAACUGCAUUUGAAACUGGCAAGCUAGAGUCUCGUAGAGGGGGGUAGAAUUCCAGGUGUAGCGGUGAAAUGCGUAGAGAUCUGGAGGAAUACCGGUGGCGAAGGCGGCCCCCCUGGACGAAGACUGACGCUCAGGUGCGAAAGCGUGGGGCAGCAAACAGGAUUAGAUACCCUGGUAGUCCACGCUGUAAACGAUGUCGAUUUGGAGGUUGUGCCCUUGAGGCGUGGCUUCCGGAGCUAACGCGUUAAAUCGACCGCC
This 528-nucleotide ribosomal RNA is filed under the name uncultured bacterium. RNAcentral describes it as "partial 16S ribosomal RNA". It matches the Rfam family "Bacterial small subunit ribosomal RNA", at positions 355 to 873 of the family's 1533-position model. The record is from RNAcentral.